AUGAUGUGGAUUAUUCGAUGCAACGACGAAAACCUUACCUACCCUUGACAUGUCCGGAAUCCCGAAGAGAUUUGGGAGUGCUCGCAAGAGAACCGGAACACAGGUGCUGCAGUGGCUGUCGUCAGCUCGUGUCGUGAGAUUGGUUAGGGUUAACGUCCCGCAACGAGCGCAACCCUUGUCAUUAGUUGCCAUCAUUUGGUUGGGCACUCUAAUGAGACUGCCGGUGACAAACCGGAGGAAGGUGGGGAUGACGUCAAGUCCUCAUGGCCCUUAUGGGUAGGGCUUCACACGUCAUACAAUGGUCGGUACAGAGGGUUGCCAAGCCGCGAGGCGGAGCCAAUCCCACAAAGCCGAUCGUAGUCCGGAUUGUUCUCUGCAACUCGAGAGCAUGAAGUCGGAAUCGCUAGUAAUCGCGGAUCAGCACGCCGCGGUGAAUACGUUCCCGGGCCUU
This 451-nucleotide ribosomal RNA is filed under the name uncultured Gallionellaceae bacterium. RNAcentral describes it as "bacterial SSU rRNA". It matches the Rfam family "Bacterial small subunit ribosomal RNA", at positions 936 to 1382 of the family's 1533-position model. The record is from RNAcentral. Lineage: Bacteria; Pseudomonadati; Pseudomonadota; Betaproteobacteria; Nitrosomonadales; Gallionellaceae.